UAGAGUGCCGAUUGGUGUAUUUACAAUCC
Molecule: non-coding RNA, 29 nt
Filed under: Homo sapiens (human)
Lineage: Eukaryota; Metazoa; Chordata; Mammalia; Primates; Hominidae
Source: RNAcentral